Molecule: ribosomal RNA, 444 nt
Filed under: uncultured bacterium
Lineage: Bacteria
Description: bacterial SSU rRNA
Rfam family: Bacterial small subunit ribosomal RNA
Source: RNAcentral
AACGAACGCUGGCGGCAGGCCUAACACAUGCAAGUCGAACGCCCCGCAAGGGGAGUGGCAGACGGGUGAGUAACACGUGGGAACCUUUCCAGUGGUACGGAAUAGCCCAGGGAAACUUGGAGUAAUACCGUAUACGCCCCUAGGGGGAAAGAUUUAUCGCCAUUGGGUGGGCCCGCGUCGGAUUAGCUAGUUGGUGAGGUAACGGCUCACCAAGGCGACGAUCCGUAGCUGGUCUGAGAGGAUGAUCAGCCACACUGGGACUGAGACACGGCCCAGACUCCUACGGGAGGCAGCAGUGGGGAAUAUUGGACAAUGGGCGCAAGCCUGAUCCAGCCAUGCCGCGUGAGUGACGAAGGCCUUAGGGUUGUAAAGCUCUUUUGGCGGGACGAUAAUGACGGUACCCGCAGAAUAAGCUCCGGCUAACUUCGUGCCAGCAGCCGCGGU